GGGAGAAAGUGGGUCUAGAAAGAGGUGAAAAGAGUAUUUACUAAAACUUCCCCUUUUUUCUAUCCACAG
Molecule: microRNA precursor, 69 nt
Filed under: Mus spretus (western wild mouse)
Lineage: Eukaryota; Metazoa; Chordata; Mammalia; Rodentia; Muridae
Description: microRNA 6949 (ENSMSPG00010048860.1)
Source: RNAcentral